RNAcentral lists this long non-coding RNA (332 nucleotides) under Mytilus galloprovincialis (Mediterranean mussel). The record is from RNAcentral. Lineage: Eukaryota; Metazoa; Mollusca; Bivalvia; Mytilida; Mytilidae.
AUUUCAUUUGUUUAUAUUUACAUUUUUCAGCUAUAGAGAGUAAAGAGGAGGAGUGAAAACCAGGCGAGAGGAGAAAAUAUGAAAAUUAACAUCAGAAAAAAAUGUAAAAUAAAUGCACUUCAAAAAUCAAAAUCGUGAAAAAUUUACAGAAAUUUGCCACUUAAUUACAAAAGGAACAAAUAUAUGAGCCAGUGGACACCCCAUCCUUAUUAGGAGGAAUGGGAGUACAGUUAUCAAAACCUGUGGCUAUGGAGAUAUGAUGAAACAUUUCUUUGAAGGCCUCCCAAUCACAUAUGCACCACCAUACAAUUAUAGGCGGAAGCUGCCGGCAA